UAGCAGAAUUUAAAUUGCUGUUGUUCAGG
This 29-nucleotide non-coding RNA is filed under the name Mus musculus (house mouse). The record is from RNAcentral. Lineage: Eukaryota; Metazoa; Chordata; Mammalia; Rodentia; Muridae.